UAAUACGGAGGGUGCAAGCGUUAUCCGGAAUCAUUGGGUUUAAAGGGUCCGUAGGCGGACUAUUAAGUCAGAGGUGAAAUCCCACAGCUCAACUGUGGAACUGCCUUUGAUACUGGUAGUCUUGAGUUAUAAGGAAGUAGAUAGAAUAUGUAGUGUAGCGGUGAAAUGCAUAGAUAUUACAUAGAAUACCGAUUGCGAAGGCAGUCUACUACUUAUAUACUGACGCUAAGGGACGAAAGCGUGGGGAGCGAACAGGAUUAGAUACCCUGGUAGUCCACGCCGUAAACGAUGGAUACUAGUUGUUGGAUUAUUUCAGUGACUAAGCGAAAGUGAUAAGUAUCCCACCUGGGGAGUACGGUCGCAAGACUG
This 369-nucleotide ribosomal RNA is filed under the name uncultured Bacteroidota bacterium. Its description in RNAcentral is "bacterial SSU rRNA". It matches the Rfam family "Bacterial small subunit ribosomal RNA", at positions 521 to 896 of the family's 1533-position model. The record is from RNAcentral. Lineage: Bacteria; Pseudomonadati; Bacteroidota.